CCCUUCGUAGUUUAAUGGAUAGAAUAGGAGCUUGCGGAGCUUCUGAUGCAGGUUCGAUUCCUGCCGAAGGGA
RNAcentral lists this transfer RNA (72 nucleotides) under Patescibacteria group bacterium. Its description in RNAcentral is "tRNA-Arg". It matches the Rfam family "tRNA". From Rfam's summary of the family: Transfer RNA (tRNA) molecules are approximately 80 nucleotides in length. Their secondary structure includes four short double-helical elements and three loops (D, anti-codon, and T loops). The record is from RNAcentral.